CGUACGACGUAGUUUGAUCAUCGGCUCAGAACGAACGCUGGCGGCAGGCUUAACACAUGCAAGUCGAACGGGUGUAGCAAUACAUCAGUGGCAGACGGGUGAGUAACACGUGGGAACCUUCCUAGGGGUACGGAACAACUCAGGGAAACUUGAGCUAAUACCGUAUACGUCCGUGAGGAGAAAGAUUUAUCGCCCUUAGACGGGCCCGCGUCGGAUUAGGUAGUUGGUGGGGUAACGGCCUACCAAGCCUACGAUCCGUAGCUGAUCUUAGAGGAUGAUCAGCCACACUGGGACUGAGACACGGCCCAGACUCCUACGGGAGGCAGCAGUGGGGAAUCUUGGACAAUGGGCGCAAGCCUGAUCCAGCCAUGCCGCGUGAGUGAAGAAGGCCUUAGGGUUGUAAAGCUCUUUUACCAGGGACGAUAAUGACGGUACCUGGAGAAUAAGCCCCGGCAAACUUCGUG
Molecule: ribosomal RNA, 464 nt
Filed under: uncultured bacterium
Lineage: Bacteria
Description: bacterial SSU rRNA
Rfam family: Bacterial small subunit ribosomal RNA
Source: RNAcentral